RNAcentral lists this ribosomal RNA (497 nucleotides) under uncultured bacterium. Its description in RNAcentral is "partial 16S ribosomal RNA". It matches the Rfam family "Bacterial small subunit ribosomal RNA", at positions 28 to 507 of the family's 1533-position model. The record is from RNAcentral.
GAUGAACGCUGGCGGCGUGCCUAACACAUGCAAGUCGAACGGUCGAGCGACAAGCUUUUUGCUGUGAGUGUAUCGGCGGACAGCGGGUUAGUAACUCGAUAGCAACCUGCUCCCUCUUUGUGGAUAACCGCAUGAAAGUGUUGCUAAUACGGGAUAUUUUGGGUCUGUUGCUUCAAGGGUCUAGGAAAGUUUUUGUUUCGGUGGGAGAUGGGCCCGCGCUGCAUUAGCUAGUUGGUACGGUGAAGGCCUACCAAGGCAGCGAUGCAUAGCCGCCCUGAGAGGGUGAUCGGCCACACUGGAACUGAGACACGGUCCAGACUCCUACGGGAGGCAGCAGUAGGGAAUCUUCGGCAAUGGGCGAAAGCCUGACGGAGCCACGCCGCGUGAGUGAUGAAGGUCUUCGGAUCGUAAAACUCUGUUAUUAGGGAAGAAAAUAUGUGUAAGUAACUGUGCACAUCUUGACGGUACCUAAACAGAAAGCCACGGCUAACUACGUG